CAUUAACAAAUCCAAUAUGUAGGUUUUGGGGUGAAUAACCCUCUACCUAAUAUUAAACCGCUAGUCCGACUAAUUAAUUAAUUAGUGGGACUAGUUGGAUAUAUAUGCAUGUUAUGUUGACAGUGUGUGUAAUUAAAAAUUUAUUGACAACUUUUAACAAUGGAUCUCUAGGCUCUUGCAGCGAUGAAGAACGCAGCAAAAUGCGAAACGUGAUGCGAUUUGCAUGAAUCUGUGAGUCAUCUAAUCUUUGGACGCGAAUGGCACUGUUAUGUAAGUAACAGUAUGUCUGUUUGAGAAUCGCAAAAACAAGAUCAACUCUAGUUGAGAGUUGGGAUUGGUCUUAUACAUCUAGUGGUGUAUUUGACUUGAUUAUAUCGAGUUGAUGAGCUUCCCAAUGCGGCUCAAUGUGUGCUAGCGAGACAGUCGUCCCGAUCUCACAUUUAUUGUCGCAUUGCAGAGUUCUGUCCACAGCUCGCUAAACAACCUAAAAAUUAUCAAAUACGAUCUCAAAUCAGGCAAGAUUACCCGCUGAACUU
Molecule: ribosomal RNA, 536 nt
Filed under: uncultured fungus
Lineage: Eukaryota; Fungi
Description: eukaryotic LSU rRNA
Rfam family: 5.8S ribosomal RNA (bases 149-300)
Source: RNAcentral